GACGAACGCUGGCGGCGUGCUUAACACAUGCAAGUCGAACGGAACGGCCCUUCGGGGUACUCGAGUGGCGAACGGGUGAGUAACACGUGGGUGUUCUGCCCUGCUCUUUGGGAUAAGCCUGGGCAACUGGGUCUAAUACCGAAUAGGCCAAAGCGCUAUCUGGUUUGUGGUGGCCAGCUUUUGCGGUGUGGGAUGGGCCCGCGGCAUCUCAGCUUGUUGGGGGGGUAUUGGCCUACCAAGGCGACGAGGGGCAGCAUGCCUGCGAUGGGGACAUGCCACGCUGGGACUGAGAUGCGACCCAGACUACAACGGGAGGCAGCGGAGAGGAAGAGAGCACUAGGGGCGGAAGCCUGAUGCAGCGACGCCGCGUGGGGUAUGACGGGCAGCGGUUUGUAAUCCUCUUUCAAUAGGGACGAAGCGCAAGUGACGGUACCGAUAGAAGAAGCACCGGCCAACUACGUG
This 462-nucleotide ribosomal RNA is filed under the name uncultured bacterium. RNAcentral describes it as "partial 16S ribosomal RNA". It matches the Rfam family "Bacterial small subunit ribosomal RNA", at positions 28 to 507 of the family's 1533-position model. The record is from RNAcentral.